This 373-nucleotide unclassified non-coding RNA is filed under the name Hevea brasiliensis (rubber tree). Lineage: Eukaryota; Viridiplantae; Streptophyta; Magnoliopsida; Malpighiales; Euphorbiaceae. The record is from RNAcentral.
UAAGAAAUAGCCAAGCUUCUCUCAUCAUUUACAUCUCAUACUAGAUUUAAGAAAUACUACAAACUUCAUACCAAUUCUCAACCAGGACAACAAAACAUAACCAACUCAUCAUGGGCACUUAGGCUUCUUCUUUGCUCCACCGGUAACCAUGUCGCGGUAGCAGGGGCACUCAUCCUUGUUCCCGUAAGUCCCCGACGGUACACAGUUACACUUAGCGCAGCAGAUCCCACAGUACUUCAGGCAUCGAUCUUUGACGCUCGCCUUCGAGCAGCGCACCUUGCACUUACCGCUGCAGAACACUGUACUGACGACGAAGGUGGCAGAAGUUCGCUCAAUAUAGGAGUCAGUGAGGAUGAUUAUAAGGAGGAGAGCG